RNAcentral lists this ribosomal RNA (1218 nucleotides) under uncultured Rhizaria. RNAcentral describes it as "SSU rRNA". It matches the Rfam family "Eukaryotic small subunit ribosomal RNA", at positions 577 to 1805 of the family's 1831-position model. The record is from RNAcentral.
CGGUAAUUCCAGCUCCAAUAGCGUAUACUAAAGUUGUUGCAGUUAAAAAGCUCGUAGUUGGAUUUCUGCGGGGACGGAGCGGCCGGUCGCAACUUGCGACUCGAGCUAGCGCUUUCCCCGCAUCCUGCCGCGAACCGUGCUACCAUUAGCUUGGUGGCGCUGGGGAUCGGCUCGAUUACUUUGAGAAAAAUAGAGUGUUCAAAGCAGGCCACACGCCUUGAAUAAGUUAGCAUGGAAUAAUGACUAAGGACUUCGGUUCUAUUUUGUUGGUGUUCGGGACUGAAGUAAUGAUUGAUAGGGACAGUUGGGGCGGUCUGUAUUCCAAAGCGAGAGGUGAAAUUCUUAGACCUUCGGAAGACAAACAGCUGCGAAAGCGUUCCGCAAGGAUGUUCCCUUUGAUCAAGAACGAAAGUUGGGGGAUCGAAGACGAUCAGAUACCGUCGUAGUCUCAACUAUAAACUAUACCAGCUAGGGAUCGGUCAACGUUUAAUCAUUCGACUUGAUCGGCACCUUAUGAGAAAUCAAAGCAUCUGGGUUCCGGGGGGAGUAUGGUCGCAAGGCUGAAACUUAAAGGAAUUGACGGAAGGGCACCACCAGCCGUGGAGCCUGUGGCUUAAUUUGACUCAACACGGGAAAACUUACCAGGUCCAGGCAUAGUAAGGAUUGACAGAUUGAUAGCUCUUUCUUGAUUCUGUGGGUGGUGGUGCAUGGCCGUUCUUAGUUGGUGGAGUGAUUUGUCUGGUUAAUUCCGUUAACGAACAAGACCCCAGCCUGCUAAAUAGCGCGGCUGAGCUUUGCUCGGUGCGAGCUUCUUAGAGGGACUAUGAUGCGCGAUAGCACAUGGAAGUUUGGGGCAAUAACAGGUCUGUGAUGCCCUUAGAUGUUCUGGGCCGCACACGGGCUACACUGGCGCCUGCAACGAGCAUAUCAGCUGGCCCGAGAGGGUCUUGGCUAAUCUUUUGAACCGGCGCCGUGCUUGGGAUUGACCAUUGCAAUUGUUGGUCAUGCAACGAGGAAUGCCUUGUAAACGCGAGUCAUCAGCUCGCAUUGAAUACGUCCCUGCCCUUUGUACACACCGCCCGUCGCUCCUACCGAUGAAUGUUCCGAUGAAAUUUUCGGAGAGCGCCAGAGAACGGGGCUCCGCCUUGCAGAUCUGGAGGCUCAAAGUCACUUAAAUCUGAACAUUUCGAGGAAGGAGAAGUCGUAACAAGGUAGCCG